Molecule: transfer-messenger RNA, 304 nt
Filed under: Rhodocyclaceae bacterium
Lineage: Bacteria; Pseudomonadati; Pseudomonadota; Betaproteobacteria; Rhodocyclales; Rhodocyclaceae
Rfam family: Betaproteobacteria transfer-messenger RNA
About the family: Bacterial tmRNA, also known as 10Sa RNA or SsrA, is named for its dual tRNA and mRNA-like properties.
Source: RNAcentral
CCAAGCUGCUGAGUUGUAUUUUGGGAUGGGCGCCCUCAUAAUGUCAGUACGGUCGUAAUUCCGGCAAGCCGGAUGUAUUCUGGACGCGGGUUCGACUCCCGCCACCUCCAGACCAAGGGGGGUGUUUUGGCUUCGACAGGGUAUUGAAAGUAAGCAGGCGGCCCGAGAGGCGACGGACGUAAUCCGCGCAAAUCCACAAACGCCAACGAUGAGCGUUUUGCACUGGCCGCUUAAGGCCUAUGCCGAGGCUGCUUGAGCCUUGUAACCAAAGAAAAGCCGGCGGGGACUUCGGUCCCCGUCGUUA